UACGUAGGGGGCAAGCGUUGUCCGGAAUCAUUGGGCGUAAAGAGCGUGUAGGCGGCCCGAUAAGUCCGCUGUGAAAGUCCAGGGCUCAACCCUGGGAUGCCGGUGGAUACUGUCGGGCUCGAGUCCGGAAGAGGAGUGUGGAAUUCCUGGUGUAGCGGUGAAAUGCGCAGACAUCAGGAGGAACACCAAUGGCGAAGGCAGCACUCUGGGACGUGACUGACGCUGAGACGCGAAAGCGUGGGGAGCAAACAGG
RNAcentral lists this ribosomal RNA (253 nucleotides) under uncultured bacterium. RNAcentral describes it as "partial 16S ribosomal RNA". It matches the Rfam family "Bacterial small subunit ribosomal RNA", at positions 524 to 776 of the family's 1533-position model. The record is from RNAcentral.